RNAcentral lists this non-coding RNA (24 nucleotides) under Arabidopsis thaliana (thale cress). The record is from RNAcentral. Lineage: Eukaryota; Viridiplantae; Streptophyta; Magnoliopsida; Brassicales; Brassicaceae.
UAACUAGAUCAUAACCCGUGCUGU